This 64-nucleotide transfer RNA is filed under the name Psylla alni. RNAcentral describes it as "tRNA-Thr". Lineage: Eukaryota; Metazoa; Arthropoda; Insecta; Hemiptera; Psyllidae. The record is from RNAcentral.
AGUUUUAGUAGUUUAAAUUAAAACAUUGAUUUUGUAAAUCAAAAAUAUAAAUUAUUUCUAAAAC